UUGACCUCAAAUCAGGUAGGACUACCCGCUGAACUUAAGCAUAUCAAUAAGCGGAGGAAAAGAAACUAACAAGGAUUCCCCUAGUAACUGCGAGUGAAGCGGGAAAAGCUCAAAUUUAAAAUCUGGCGGUCUUUGGCUGUCCGAGUUGUAAUUUAGAGAAGUGUUAUCCGCGCUGGACCGUGUACAAGUCUCCUGGAACGGAGCGUCAUAGAGGGUGAGAAUCCCGUCUUUGACACGGACCACCAGUGCUUUGUGAUGCGCUCUCGAAGAGUCGAGUUGUUUGGGAAUGCAGCUCAAAAUGGGUGGUAAAUUCCAUCUAAAGCUAAAUAUUGGCGAGAGACCGAUAGCGAACAAGUACCGUGAGGGAAAGAUGAAAAGAACUUUGGAAAGAGAGUUAAACAGUACGUGAAAUUGUUGAAAGGGAAACGCUUGAAGUCAGUCGCGUUGUCCGGGGAUCAACCUUGCAUUCGUGCUUGGCGUACUUCCCGGUCGACGGGUCAGCAUCAAUUUUGACCGCUGGAUAAAGGUCAGGGGAAUGUGGCAUCCUCGGAUGUGUUAUAGCCUCUGGCUGCAUACAGCNGUUGGGAUUGAGGAACUCAGCA
Molecule: ribosomal RNA, 602 nt
Filed under: Xeromphalina campanella
Lineage: Eukaryota; Fungi; Basidiomycota; Agaricomycetes; Agaricales; Mycenaceae
Description: eukaryotic LSU rRNA
Rfam family: Eukaryotic large subunit ribosomal RNA
Source: RNAcentral